UACGAAGGGGGCUAGCGUUGCUCGGAAUCACUGGGCGUAAAGGGCUCGUAGGCGGCCAACUAAGUCAGACGUGAAAUCCCCAGGCUCAACCUGGGAACUGCGUCUGAUACUGGAUGGCUUGAAUUCGGGAGAGGGAUGCAGAAUUCCAGGUGUAGCGGUGAAAUGCGUAGAUAUCGGGAAGAACACCCGUGGCGAAGGCGGUUCUCUGGGACGGUACUGACGCUGAGACGCGAAAGCGUGGGGAGCGAACAGG
This 253-nucleotide ribosomal RNA is filed under the name uncultured bacterium. RNAcentral describes it as "partial 16S ribosomal RNA". It matches the Rfam family "Bacterial small subunit ribosomal RNA", at positions 524 to 776 of the family's 1533-position model. The record is from RNAcentral.